GUCCAAGGAUCGCUCAAAAGAUAAAGGGG
Molecule: non-coding RNA, 29 nt
Filed under: Homo sapiens (human)
Lineage: Eukaryota; Metazoa; Chordata; Mammalia; Primates; Hominidae
Source: RNAcentral